AGCGAACGCUGGCGGCAGGCUUAACACAUGCAAGUCGAGCGGGCAGGUCGGGGUUAGCGGCAGACGGGGGAGGAACACGGGGGAACGUACCCGUCGGUUCGGAAUAACGCAGGGUAACUAGCGCUAAGAACGGAUACGCCCAUACGGGGAAAGGGUUACUGCCGAAGGAUCGGCGCGCGUCUGCUUAGCCAGUUGGGGGGGUAAUGGCCUACCAUGGCGACGCUCAGUAGCUGGUGUGAGAGGAUGCUCCGCCACACUGGGACUGCGACACGGCCCACACGCCUACGGGAGGCAGCAGUGGGGAAUAUUGUACGAUGGGCGCAAGCCUGAUCCAGCCAUGCCGCGUGAGUGAUGCAGGCCUUAGGGUUGUACAGCUCUUUUGUCCGGGACGAUAAUGACGGUACCGGAAGAAUAAGCCCCGGCUAACUUCGUG
Molecule: ribosomal RNA, 433 nt
Filed under: uncultured bacterium
Lineage: Bacteria
Description: partial 16S ribosomal RNA
Rfam family: Bacterial small subunit ribosomal RNA
Source: RNAcentral